Molecule: long non-coding RNA, 444 nt
Organism: Argiope bruennichi
Lineage: Eukaryota; Metazoa; Arthropoda; Arachnida; Araneae; Araneidae
Exons: 3
Source: RefSeq, a predicted model, not a curated record
GGUAUAUAAGGCCUAACGCAUUUCUCUGAUUUAACUUGCUCAGUGAGAACUACCCAUCAUGCAGUACGUGUUCAUAUUCCUUCUGCUCGCCAGUGUUUUGGCUUGCGCACUAGCAGGUUACCGCUACGGAUACGGGGGAUAUGGAUAUCCUUCUUAUGGCCAUUACGGAGGAUAUUACGGAGGACAUUAUGGACGCGGACUGUACAACUACGGCCACAAAGCUUACCGUUACUUCCAUUAAUGAGAUAUUAUUAAAGGUUUUAUUGUUUUCCUUGAAAGUUAAGAGAAAAAGACCAGCGCCAUCUAAAAUGAAGUUCAUCACUACCUGACUAGUUAUUUCAAUAGAAUUUUAGAAUAAACUGUUAUUUUUUUUUAGUAAAAGCACACAUGGUGUGUAUAUUAUGUACACUAUUUGUAAAAAAUAAAUAUUUUAGAACACUUUCA